AUAUGUUGCUCCCUUACUCUAUAGUCCUGGUGCACUGAUUGCUACAUCGUCUACAUAAAAAACGCCCAGUGGUAAAAUAACCCAUCAACUCUUAGGUCCUCAGAUGGCUAAGGGUGGCUAGGGCAGGUGGUGGCUAUUUGUCAAUCUCUUCCUAAGUGGUUUAAUACUUUAAUGACAACUUUGGUGUAGGUUAAUCAAAACCCUCAUACCCUUAUGCUUGGCAGCAUCAAGAAAAGUGUGAAGGUGUAUUCACAGUACACCAGGGACUGGUCACACUGUGUGGGACAGACACCAUGAGGGAGGCUCUGAUGAACCAUGCUAAGGCUUUCUCUGGCCGGAGAACAAUUGCUGUGCUUCAGCCCAUUAUGCAACACUAUGGUGUGUUCUUUGUCAAUGGGGAAUGCUGGAAGACUCUUCAUUGAUUCGUACUGGCCACCAUGAGAGACUUUGGUAUGAGAAAUUGGAGUGUGAAGAAGAUAAAGGAGGAGUUCAAAUGUUUAGUAGAGGAACUGAAGAAAUACCAGGUGACAUAGAUAACGGAGAGAUGCCUCAACACCCCUUGCCACCUACAGCAGACAGAGGAGCUAGUCCUGUCCUCUACCUGCUGCAGCACUCAGGAAAGCAGACCCAGGACCUCACCUGGACAGCACAGUAAAGCUGGCCCUAUAUGAUGGACUUCCAGGAGUACCAUCUCUGUCUCUUGUCUGCUGGGCAGUAGCACAGAUGAACAAGAGAUGCCCUCCUCCUCUACAUCAUCCCUCCAUAUUUAUGGCAGAUGGGAAAGUCGGCUUAAGGGUCUUGACAGUGAAAGAAACAAGCCACAUACCUUACCAGCUGGACACUAUGGAGAGAGGACCAUGCACCUCAGCAGGGUUGAGCUGGACCUGCUUGUAGGGAUUGUUAGUGAGAUGUUAGAGUGGGUCAUCAGGCUGACAAAUUCAGAAACCUCUCUGUCCCAUAUUCAGGGAUAUGAAUUGGCUCACCCCAACAUCUACCCCAUCAAUUAACUGCUGGAAUGUAUGAAGGGGCAGGUCCUACAAGUCCAAAUCUACAAGAUUUAUAUGACAUAGAGCAACAAUAGGAUAUUUAAAAGGAGUCACAGUCAAAUGCAUGUAUUGACAGAGUUACAGAAACUAGAGCUCUCUUACCAAACCAAUGAGUCUUUGCAUUUUCAAAUAAGGAAAUGUUUAAAAUAAGUUCAAAUAAGAAAAGUGUACUAUGACACAGUACAGAUUCCACAAUGUGGUUUCUCAUCUCUGAUGUUGGGGAAGUCGCAAGGGUGGGAUGUGGGUAUGAUGUGAGUGGAAGAUGAGUGGGAUUAGAGUGCAUGAGUAAAAUUCACAAAGAACCAAUAAAAAGUUUGAAAAAUAAAAAAAAAUAAUGUAUCCUUGGCUCUUUAGCUUUUUAAUCCCACCUCACCUUCCUCCCUAUCCCUGAACCUGUCUCUGCAUCAUCCUAUCUGGAUCUUUAGCAACCA
Molecule: non-coding RNA, 1477 nt
Organism: Mus caroli (Ryukyu mouse)
Lineage: Eukaryota; Metazoa; Chordata; Mammalia; Rodentia; Muridae
Source: RefSeq, a predicted model, not a curated record